This 294-nucleotide ribosomal RNA is filed under the name uncultured bacterium. RNAcentral's name for it is "partial 16S ribosomal RNA". It matches the Rfam family "Bacterial small subunit ribosomal RNA", at positions 335 to 643 of the family's 1533-position model. The record is from RNAcentral.
UGGCCUACGGGAGGCAGCAGUGGGGAAUAUUGGGCAAUGGGCGCAAGCCUGACCCAGCAACGCCGCGUGAAGGAAGAAGGCUUUCGGGUUGUAAACUUCUUUUCUCAGGGACGAAGCAAGUGACGGUACCUGAGGAAUAAGCCACGGCUAACUACGUGCCAGCAGCCGCGGUAAUACGUAGGUGGCAAGCGUUAUCCGGAUUUACUGGGUGUAAAGGGCGUGUAGGCGGGGACGCAAGUCAGAUGUGAAAACCACGGGCUCAACCUGUGGCCUGCAUUUGAAACUGGGUUUCUU